GUGCUCACUUUGGCAACACAUAUACUAAAAUUGGAAUGAUACAAAGAAGAUUAGCAUGACGCUUGCACAAGGAUGACAUGCAAAUUCGUAAAGCAUUCCAUAUUUUG
Molecule: small nuclear RNA, 107 nt
Filed under: Delphinapterus leucas (beluga whale)
Lineage: Eukaryota; Metazoa; Chordata; Mammalia; Artiodactyla; Monodontidae
Source: RNAcentral